GUUUCUUGCCCUGGAGCAUGGCUGUGGUGGGGAUGGGGUGGGGAGGGCAGCAACACAGAAUUUGGCUUGGGCUGGGGUCUUGUCGGAGGAGGUGCUUGAGGAGGGGCCGUUAAAUGCAGCAGGGGCUGAGGGGGCAGACAGGAGGCAGGCUAGCUACUUAGGUGUCAGACAGACCUCAACCUGAAUCCUGGCCUCCAGCUGGGAGACACUGGGCAGAUCCCUUAUGAACUUUCCAGCCUCCCUUUAUUCAUAGGGAUGAGAGUGUUACUGUGAAGACAGAAAGAGAAACGUGUGUAAAGCACUUAGCAUGGUUCCUGGCACCUUUUCCAUCUCCGUGAGUUUUAUUUUAUUACCCAAAGAGGAGAGACAAAUCAGAAACUCAGGAACCCCUGAAUCCAGCCUGGGUUAAUUCAGAAAUGAACACUUGACCCUCCAAGGGGGAGUCUGAUUUUCAAAUGUACUUGUUUUCCUUCACUUAAUACUACUUGAUUGGCUUAGAAUGGCAGAGUGGGGACUCUCACAGUCGGAGGGGAUAUUAGCCAGGGCUUGGAGCCAUGGCCUCAGGAAUCUGCAGAGAGUGGCAUCGGUGCCAGGAAGGCCCGGUAGGCAGGGUUCCAGGAGUCUGCUGUUGAAGAUGGUUUGCAAACCCCACAGCCCCAUGCUUGAGUUCAUUAUGGUGCUUCUCCCCUGCGGCCGAGGCCAUUCUUGGAAGAGUCCUGUCACAGUAGACGUUAUUACCUUUCUUUCUUGGAGCAGGAAUCCAUCGUCCAGUCACAGUCAUCCAGGUCCAAUUUUAUUUUUGUUUUUUUUUUUUCAAGUUUCAGAGAUUUAUUCAGCAGUGUAAACCCCAACACAAUACACCAACAUGAUUUCAUGCAUCAAGAGGGGAAAUCUUUCCUGGAUAAGGAGGAAAAUUAUGCGGAUGGCUUCUGCAAGACCUCUAUCCUAAGCAGCUUUAUAGUGAAACAUUUCAUUUAGAAGUCUGGACCUUCUUUCUUCAGUUUGCAGUAAUCUACGCUCAUCAAGUAAAACUUGUAUUGAUCAUGGAGACCCAGUGUGUUCCAGGUUUCUGGUUAUUUUUCUUAUCCUAACUGACAUCCGGAUUGAACACUGCCAGGAGGAGCAAGACAUAGAGCACUGCUCCAGUACCUUCUUCCCCCUCUGAGCUCGGAUGCUUCUUGGCUGGACUGAGGAUCUGGUGGAAACAAUGGGGCAGAGGUCUCGAGUCCAGAAGGAGAACAGAUCAAAUCUGCAAGCCCCUAUACCCUGAGUCCAGUUUCAGAUCAAUUUCUAGAAUUCUCCAGCAUACCCCACCGGGAGCUCCAGGGUGCUGCCUGCUAGGCCCUCUGAAGGAUGAGCUGGGGCUCUGAGGCUGGUGCUGAGCAGCAGAAGGAGGAGGGAGACCAGAAUCCUGAAGAACUCAAUCUUUUUGGCAGGGGAGGGGACGGUGGGGUGUCUGGAGGCCAGAGGCCAACGGGACGGAGAACACUGUCCUCUGUGAAAACUUAGGCUGUCAUUAAUAUCAUCGAGGCUCCAAAAUACACCCCAGCAUUCUAAGAAAUGAAAGCCCAAGAGGCUCAGUGCCCAGUCUGGUCGGCAGACACUUGCCAGGCCAGGCGCCCCCAGCAGAGGGCGCACGCGGGGAUGGGAGGGGCCACCACCCCACAUCCCAUCUGGUCGGGCUCCGCCAGAGCAGGGCAGGUACCAGGAGACCUGCCACCCUAGGGAUCAGAGUCAUUCAAAGGAGAGGCCCAGGAGUGUUGGGGGUGGGGAAGAUAGAGACUGGGGCACUUGACCCCAACCUUGCUGCCCAACUUUGCACAUCAUUUUGCACCCAGUGCCUUCCACCCAGUGCAAGGCACAGCCUGGUCUUCCCGCACACUGCUUCCAGAUUCACCUGCUGAAGACACCGCUCAGAACAUGUGCUUCUGCUCCAGGACCUACAGUGACUCCCCAUGUCCACGGCAUCAUGUGAAGUCUCUGCCCGGUGUCUGGACCUUUAAUGUCUGCCUGGUGUCUCCGCCCUUCCGGUCGGUGUCAUGUCUCCGUGCGCCGUUUCCCUGGGGCAGACUGGUGCCCUCGCUCGCUCAACUCAAACUGCCACCGGCUUUCUCUUCUGUAAAAUGGCCCUGGUAGUGCCCCCUCCCCCACAGAGUCGCUGGUGUGGGGAUUAUGCGAGAGAACACAUGUGAACGACGCGCCUGGCACACAGUAGGCAUUAUGUUACAGAUGAGGGUCAGUGGAGUAGGCCACUCCAAAAUAUGCCAUCCGACAUAAGGAUGAUUUUGAACUAAAGGCAAUUGAGAAGAAGCAAACACAAGAAAAACUCCUCCCCACGUCACCCCCACCAGGAAGGACAGGAUGAUUGUCUCACUUGCAGGGUCCCAACCAAUGAACAUAAGAUGGGUAGAGGAAAAACCCUCUUCUUCUCCUACAGUUUUUGCAACUGUGAAGGGGCAGUAAAAGCUUGGGGUGCCCCACUGGCUCUGGAACCUACAGAUGAAAUCCUGGAACAAUAGCUAAAAGCUGGCAAGAGGUUAAGAAUUCAUUUGUCAUGUUAACCUCCUGGAUGUCUGGUUGUGGUGGCUGGUUGAGAGAGGAAGGAGUGCUGAUUGUUGGGGUCUGCCUCCAUAGGUGACGAGCCAUCAGGCUGGGAAUCUGAGACACUUCCUUCCCAACUGUGGCAGCAAUCAGGGGAAUUUGUUUGGAGAAGGGGUCACAGCUCAUAAGAAGCCCUUGUUGGCUUUAACCCUUGCUGCCUUGGCAGUGCUGGGGAAAUCCCAUCCUGGCAUUGCCUCCCUGGGACUGCAAAUUAGUGUGUCUGCACUUAAAGACAUCUAACUUCUGUUGGACACUGGCGUUUCCUUACUGCAUGUGACAACAAAGGCCUUUGCUUUCUUUGACAAUCUCUGCGAGUGACCUUUGUGGAUCACAGAGGUUUCAUCAUCUGCACCUGUUCUGGGAACGCUGCUUACGUCCAUGGACACUGCAGAUACUGGAAACAGCCAUGACAUAGGAAAAACAAUGAUCCUACAGAGAGAGACAGAGCACAUGCAAGAGUGGGGAGAGGGGCAGAAGGAGAUUCACUCGGGCUCCUACACCGGACUCGAUCUCAGGAUCCAUGAGUUCAAGACCUGAGUUGAAACCAAGAGUUGGAGGCUUAACUGACUGCACCACCCAGGCGCCCAUCUAUUCAUUGAGUUUAAAAAAAAGGCAAAAGAUAUUUGGAUCUGUUACUUAAGCAUGUCUUUUUUGCCACACUGAAAAAUUAUGCUAUGAAAAAUUACGUCAAAAUUAUGAAAUGGUAUAUUAAUAAAUUUACUAAUCUGAAGAAUGCUGAUAUGUGAGAGCUCACAACUGCCUGCUCCCCAAUUUUCUCUGGAAAUUAAGCUAUGUUACUUCCUACAGCUGUUUUUGGAAUCUUUUAUUGCCAAUUUGGUAAAUGAAUAAGUUUUAUUCCUGAGCCUGCCACCAUGCCAUCUGAGACUCAGGGCCUCUUCCCAGCAAAUUCUCCUGCAUCUUCAGCCUUUUCUCUGAAGGCUGUCUUCACCCUCACCUUCUUGUCCUAGAAGAAUCCUGGCUUUCCCGGGGAAUCCUACUGAACUCAGGGUCACGGACUCGACUGUAGAGUACUUUGGGGUGUUAACUCCUCUGCACUUCGGGUUGUGCGGGGUUGGUGCCCAGAGGCCCAGGUGUCUCAUGCAUCAGCGCGGAUGCCUCAGGGCAGGAGCGGAGACGCGCACAGGGGAGCGCUCCAGGCACUGCUGGGUUGUACCCGCACCAUGUGAGCUGAGGCACAAAACUUCUGUCAUCUCAGCAACAGCUGGAACAGGGCAAGCAGCUCUGUCACCCUUACAUAUGCGGCAGGGCCUGACUGAGCUGUUUGCCUGGAGCUGCAGGAGGGUUUCCAUGGUUGUGCAUAAAAGCUGGCCUGGCCCACAUUUCUCGUACUUAUCAUCGCCCCCAGACCCAUCACAGGCUACAGACAUUCCACCUCCCAGCUGACGUUCACCUCCCACCGGCACCUCAGCCCAUUUAACCACAGACGGAAACCUCAGGAAUCCCGCUGCCUCUCCCUGCCCAGGGUGGUCACCACCCACUUUCCAUAGCAAGUGACCUUACUGCCAUCAGUCCAAUGGGUAAUUCAAUUUCACAAUCCUACGCUGAGUGUCUUCUUUUAAGGGCCACCCUUGGGACCAGUUGUCUCCGCGGCAAAUGUUGAGGUGUGGCUGCAAGGUGAGGCGUGGAGGAUUGUUUCUGCGUGAAGUCAGUGGGAACCCAAGCAGGGUUGGUCAUCACCGAGGGGCUAGGACAGGACGGGUCAGAGGCCCCGGACGCAUGUGAGGACCAGAGGCUCUGGUGUGGCAUGAAGAGAUGUCUGAUAUAAAGGCGGAUCAUAGAUUUUCUUUCCCAACAAGGCUUGUCCUAUUUGCAUUUAUUGAUGUAAUGUGAUGGAUGGGUUUAGUUCUCCUUCUGGCGUCUUGUUUUAUAUUAUGCGUUCUCUCUUCACUUCUUCCUUUGUUUUGCAUCUUUUGCUCUGUGGUGUGUAUGUGUGUUUUCUUCAGGUGAUUUCACUGCAUUUGUGGCAAUUGGCACUCUCUUUCUUCUGGAACCAGCAGACUUUGUCAAGACAAGAGGUGUCAGAUAUGCUAAGAUAUGUUGUGACGCAUAAAACCCGAGACUACACACAUAGGCACUUCUUGUUUGUUUUAUUGUUGUCUGUUUCUGUUCUACGAAAUCCUGGGAAAUUCAGUGUUGCCCAAUGCACAUCAAAAGAGCAAAAAAAAGGUUUACAAUGACUUGUGCGGCUUUAGGGAGAACAUUCCCGAGAAAACGUCCAUUUUGACUAGGGUUAAUAAGAACCAAUCCUCUGCUUACUGUUUUACCUCUCUGGUGAGUGGAAGAAUUUUCUACACACCAGCUUCUGGUUCCUUUUGUCCCACAGUUUGUUCCUUCUCCUCUCCCCACGCAAUCCCAGUGCCAGGUGCUUCAGAACACAUUUCUACUGUGAUGUGACCCCUCGUCCUAUACCUUUGAGCCCUCCCCUAGGUGAGUCAGCACAGAGGCUGGAAGGGACCUCCUAUACCAGGACAGCUUGCAAAAGCUGAAUGAUAGGCAGGAAAGACUAUAGACCCCGUAAAUCUAUCCUACAAACCCUGAACUUAAUGUAUCUCAUGUCAACUGUUCUCUCAUUCAGGUCCCUUCCAAUAUCGUCUGAUGUGAGGCAAAGGAAAAUUCAGGCAAAAAAAAAAAAAGAUACUGGUCUUAACUGACUGCACCAAAAACUGCCCCACCCGUGAAAAUUUUGUAAAAGCAUAUGCCCAUAUGAACACACUGUUUGGGGUCCACAACCCUAUCCUUAAAAGGGGCUGUUGAACUGAGGGGCCCAAAACUUAAGCUGUCUCCAUAUUGUACCUCAUGGUUUAUCAUUUAAUAUAAGAACAUCAAUAACCUACAAAUAGGUAUAAGGAAGUCCAGCAAAAUUUUGGUCUUUUCCCCAUGAUGGCUGGUGCUCUUAAGGAAAUAAAUAC
Ailuropoda melanoleuca (giant panda) is the source of this 5531-nucleotide long non-coding RNA. RefSeq lists it as uncharacterized. The record is from RefSeq and is a predicted model, not a curated record. Lineage: Eukaryota; Metazoa; Chordata; Mammalia; Carnivora; Ursidae. The transcript has 11 exons.